UACAAAGAUGACCUUGGUGAUGCCCUCAG
Molecule: non-coding RNA, 29 nt
Filed under: Mus musculus (house mouse)
Lineage: Eukaryota; Metazoa; Chordata; Mammalia; Rodentia; Muridae
Source: RNAcentral